UCUUUUUUUUAAUCGUCCUCGAUUGAUUUGGCACUCUUUGUCUCUCCUCGUGACGGUCUCACGACUCUCACCCGUCUCUUCCAUCGCGUCUCUCUGCCAAAAAUCCACCGGCGAGAAAAAGGACCAAUGGCCGUUGAUUGGAGCCAACUACCGUCCGAUCUCCUCGAAUCGAUCUCCACAAAACUCCCCUUGUACGCCGACUACAUCCGAUUUCGUACCGUCUGCCGGACGUGGCGGUCCUCCACCGCGAAAACCCCCAACCACCUCCCUCCUCAGCUCCCGUGGCUCCUCCUCCCCCGGUUCAAGCCUCAAAGUCGCAACCGCUCUUGCUCCGGCUACUUCUACAACCUCCUCGACGACAAGGUCCACGUGCUAAGAAUCACGGAAAUGUACCUCCGCAAGCGUCGCUGCGGCUCCUCCCACGGCUGGCUCGCGAUCCUCGACGAGUCACCGAGCGUCGUCCUCGUGAACCCCCUGACCGGAGCCAAAAUGGACCUUCCUCCGUUGUACACGUUCCCCGACGUCGUCGGCUUCAAUUUCCCCGACGUAGGCCGCGAGUACUUGCUCCGCGACGGCGAUCAUCGGCUCUCGACGCGUAAUCUGAAGGACAUGCGUGACUGUUUCGUCAAAAAGGUGGUCCUGUCUUCAAGUCCGGCGAAGGACAGUCAAUUCGUUGCUGUGGCGAUACUCCAUCACAGUAACAGCUUGGCUUACUGUAGAAAUGGUGAUGAACGUUGGAGGUUUAUAGAAGAAGCGAAUUCUUACUGCGAGGAUGUUAUUUAUGGGGACGGAUUGUUCUAUGCUGUGAAUACGUUUGGUCUAAUUGCGGUUUGCGAUGUUAAUGGCGAUUCCCCUAGGGUUUCGUACAUCGAGACGCGGAGGCAUUUCGGUGGGGACAUACAGUAUUUGGUGGGUGUAGGAGAUGAUCUCAUGUUAGUUACGAGGCAUUUGGACUCCAAUUUUUGGCCCGAGCUCGAUCAAACAGUGUAUAGGACUACGCUAUUUGAUGUUUUUAAGCUGGGGGAUGAACCCAGGUGGGAGUGGGUGACAGACCUGGGUGAUUAUAUGAUUUUUAUCGGGCAAAACUCUUCUUUCGCAUUACUAGCGUCGGACUUCCCUGGAUGCAUGGGGAAUUCUAUAUAUUACACCGACGAUUACUCGGAUUCCAACUAUGAUGGAUUCUUGGAAGAGCAGGAUAUGGGAAUCUAUAGGUUAGGGGACGCAAGCAUUGAGAAAUUACCUUGUUAUUCUCCCAAUUUUUCCUUGCGGUCGACUCCACCCAUUUGGCUCUCACCAAAUCCUUGCUAGACUCCAUGAUUGUUAUUGAACUUGGCGACGGGGAAGAUUUUCAGAAGGAGUGAUAUGGCAGCAUGGAGUGUUUCCUCUUAAACUGUCUCUGAUAUGAACAAUGGACAUCUCUUCAACUUCUGCCAAUUUGCUGCUUGCACAUUUUGCUCCGUUAGCACAGCUGCAUCUUGACUUGUGUACAAAAUUAGCUAAAUUGAAAAAAAAAAAAAAGAAUUGUAAAUAAUGGCGACAUACUGCGCUUGAUUACCUGCUGUGUUGUUCAGGGAUGUUUGUUUGUGCCACGUAAGACUUGAGAUGAAAGCAUCUCCCUCUUAUAAAAGUGACUCUGGACUUUGCCAAACUACACUCGGAUGGAAGUAAUAAAUGGGUUGUUUCCAUUGGUAA
RNA transcript from Rhodamnia argentea, 1692 nucleotides. It is a transcript of the gene named F-box protein SKIP23-like, with no coding region annotated. NCBI's taxonomy places the organism in Eukaryota, Viridiplantae, Streptophyta, Magnoliopsida, Myrtales, Myrtaceae. The record is from RefSeq and is a predicted model, not a curated record. The transcript has 3 exons.